Long non-coding RNA from Lampris incognitus (smalleye Pacific opah), 227 nucleotides. RefSeq lists it as uncharacterized. The transcript has 3 exons. The record is from RefSeq and is a predicted model, not a curated record. NCBI's taxonomy places the organism in Eukaryota, Metazoa, Chordata, Actinopteri, Lampriformes, Lampridae.
ACCCACUCUUCUCCUCGGCAAGCCAAGCAAAAAGAAGCUUUUUGACUGUGAGAUCCUACUUCCCUGUUCCAGGCUCACAAUCAAUGCUCAAGCAAUGGUUAAAAAAAUUUGAGGGGAUGUAUGACAUGGUCUGUGAAGGCUGGGUCCCUGGUUGCAGUGAUGAACAUAGCUUAAUUGAGGAGACAUCAGACCUUGUGACCCUGAAUCUGACAGCUGUAGACCCGGAG